RNAcentral lists this ribosomal RNA (253 nucleotides) under uncultured bacterium. RNAcentral's name for it is "partial 16S ribosomal RNA". It matches the Rfam family "Bacterial small subunit ribosomal RNA", at positions 524 to 776 of the family's 1533-position model. The record is from RNAcentral.
CACGUAGGUGGCGAGCGUUGUCCGGAUUUACUGGGCGUAAAGGGAGCGUAGGCGGACUUUUAAGUGAGAUGUGAAAUACUCGGGCUCAACUUGAGUGCUGCAUUUCAAACUGGAAGUCUAGAGUGCAGGAGAGGAGAAUGGAAUUCCUAGUGUAGCGGUGAAAUGCGUAGAGAUUAGGAAGAACACCAGUGGCGAAGGCGGUUCUCUGGACUGUAACUGACGCUGAGGCUCGAAAGCGUGGGGAGCAAACAGG